RNAcentral lists this ribosomal RNA (631 nucleotides) under Kocuria palustris. RNAcentral describes it as "bacterial SSU rRNA". It matches the Rfam family "Bacterial small subunit ribosomal RNA", at positions 55 to 695 of the family's 1533-position model. Lineage: Bacteria; Bacillati; Actinomycetota; Actinomycetes; Micrococcales; Micrococcaceae. The record is from RNAcentral.
AUGCAAGUCGAACGCUGAAGCACCAGCUUGCUGGUGUGGAUGAGUGGCGAACGGGUGAGUAAUACGUGAGUAACCUGCCCUUGACUCUGGGAUAAGCCCGGGAAACUGGGUCUAAUACUGGAUGCUACAUGUCACCGCAUGGUGGUGUGUGGAAAGGGUUUACUGGUCUUGGAUGGGCUCACGGCCUAUCAGCUUGUUGGUGAGGUAAUGGCUCACCAAGGCGACGACGGGUAGCCGGCCUGAGAGGGUGACCGGCCACACUGGGACUGAGACACGGCCCAGACUCCUACGGGAGGCAGCAGUGGGGAAUAUUGCACAAUGGGCGAAAGCCUGAUGCAGCGACGCCGCGUGAGGGAUGACGGCCUUCGGGUUGUAAACCUCUUUCAGCAGGGAAGAAGCCACAAGUGACGGUACCUGCAGAAGAAGCGCCGGCUAACUACGUGCCAGCAGCCGCGGUAAUACGUAGGGCGCAAGCGUUGUCCGGAAUUAUUGGGCGUAAAGAGCUCGUAGGCGGUUUGUCGCGUCUGCUGUGAAAGCCCGGGGCUUAACCCCGGGUGUGCAGUGGGUACGGGCAGACUAGAGUGCAGUAGGGGAGACUGGAAUUCCUGGUGUAGCGGUGGAAUGCGCAGAU